Molecule: non-coding RNA, 27 nt
Filed under: Rattus norvegicus (Norway rat)
Lineage: Eukaryota; Metazoa; Chordata; Mammalia; Rodentia; Muridae
Source: RNAcentral
UACUACACUGCGUAGGAUGCUCCACAG